ACUCAAAUGAAUUGACGGGGGCCCGCACAAGCGGCGGAGCAUGCGGAUUAAUUCGAUGCAACGCGAAGAACCUUACCUGGGUUUGACAUGUGCGCUAAAGCAGCAGAGAUGUUGUGUCCUUCGGGGGCGUUCACAGGUGGUGCAUGGCUGUCGUCAGCUCGUGUCGUGAGAUGUUGGGUUAAGUCCCGCAACGAGCGCAACCCUUGUUCGAUGUUGCCAGCGGUUCGGCCGGGGACUCAUCGAAGACUGCCGGGGUCAACUCGGAGGAAGGUGGGGAUGACGUCAAGUCAUCAUGCCCCUUAUGUCCAGGGCUUCACGCAUGCUACAAUGGCCGGUACAAAGGGCUGCGAUACCGUGAGGUGGAGCGAAUCCCAAAAAGCCGGUCUCAGUUCGGAUCGGGGUCUGCAACUCGACCCCGUGAAGUCGGAGUCGCUAGUAAUCGCAGAUCAGCAACGCUGCGGUGAAUACGUUCCCGGGCCUUGCACACACCGCCCGU
Molecule: ribosomal RNA, 496 nt
Filed under: uncultured bacterium
Lineage: Bacteria
Description: partial 16S ribosomal RNA
Rfam family: Bacterial small subunit ribosomal RNA
Source: RNAcentral